Long non-coding RNA from Oncorhynchus tshawytscha (Chinook salmon), 355 nucleotides. The record is from Ensembl. Lineage: Eukaryota; Metazoa; Chordata; Actinopteri; Salmoniformes; Salmonidae.
GGGAGGAGAAUGAUACUGCAGAGUGGUUGAGGAAAGAGAGAGAGGCAGGAGGAGAAUGAUACUGCAGAGUGGUUGAGGAAAGAGAGAGACAGGAGGAGAAUGAUACUGCAGUGGUUGAGGAAAGAGAGAGAGGCAGGAGGAGAAUGAUACUGCAGAGUGGUUGAGGAAAGAGAGAGACAGGAGGAGAAUGAUACUGCAGAGUGGUUGAGGAAAGAGAGAGGCAGGAGGAGAAUGAUACUGCAGAGUGGUUGAGGAAAGAGAGAGACAGGAGGAGAAUGAUACUGCAGUGUGGUUGAGGAAAGAGAGAGAGGCAGGAGGAGAAUGAUACUGCAGAGUGGUUGAGGAAAGAGAGAGG